This 468-nucleotide ribosomal RNA is filed under the name uncultured bacterium. RNAcentral describes it as "partial 16S ribosomal RNA". It matches the Rfam family "Bacterial small subunit ribosomal RNA", at positions 28 to 507 of the family's 1533-position model. The record is from RNAcentral.
GACGAACGCUGGCGGCGUGCUUAACACAUGCAAGUCGAACGGAAAGGCCCUGCUUUUGUGGGGUGCUCGAGUGGCGAACGGGUGAGUAACACGUGAGUAACCUGCCCUUGACUUUGGGAUAACUUCAGGAAACUGGGGCUAAUACCGGAUAGGAGCUCCUGCUGCAUGGUGGGGGUUGGAAAGUUUCGGCGGUUGGGGAUGGACUCGCGGCUUAUCAGCUUGUUGGUGGGGUAGUGGCUUACCAAGGCUUUGACGGGUAGCCGGCCUGAGAGGGUGACCGGCCACAUUGGGACUGAGAUACGGCCCAGGCUCCUACGGGAGGCAGCAGUGGGGAAUAUUGCACAAUGGGCGGAAGCCUGAUGCAGCAACGCCGCGUGCGGGAUGACGGCCUUCGGGUUGUAAACCGCUUUCGCCUGUGACGAAGCGUGAGUGACGGUAAUGGGUAAAGAAGCACCGGCUAACUACGUG